Molecule: transfer RNA, 88 nt
Filed under: bioreactor metagenome
Description: tRNA-Ser
Rfam family: tRNA
About the family: Transfer RNA (tRNA) molecules are approximately 80 nucleotides in length. Their secondary structure includes four short double-helical elements and three loops (D, anti-codon, and T loops).
Source: RNAcentral
GGAGGAUUCGCAUAGUGGUCUAGUGCACUACCUUGGAAAGGUAGCAACUGGGAAACCGGUUCGAGGGUUCGAAUCCCUCAUCCUCCGC